Coregonus clupeaformis (lake whitefish) is the source of this 676-nucleotide long non-coding RNA. RefSeq lists it as uncharacterized. The transcript has 3 exons. Lineage: Eukaryota; Metazoa; Chordata; Actinopteri; Salmoniformes; Salmonidae. The record is from RefSeq and is a predicted model, not a curated record.
CAUUCUGUUGCCAGGGUAGAUUUUCCCCUGUGCCUAUGUAUUAUUGGAUUCUACCAUUACAGUGUUUUUGCCAGGGAUGAGAGCUUCCCCUGUGCCUGUUUUCGUGGAUCGCUAUUUGAGCACAUUUGUGUGUCCACAAAGGAAUAAAACUCUGUAUUCGGUGAUUACCCUCCUGCGCCUGACUCCUUCCAUCACGAUCAUCACACUGCCAGAAGUUUGAGAGGGCGAAGACUGUGGCACCGGAGUUGAAGCCCAUCAAUGUUGUUUCACCAUGGCACAUGAUUGGGGUGGACCUCAUCGAACCCUUCAUGAAAUCCAGGAAUGGCAACAGCUGGUGUCUGAAGGCGACCGAUCACUUUACCAAGUGAGUGGAGGCAAUACCCAUUAAGGUCAGUAAAGGAAGAGUACGUGCUUAACUCUAAAUUACCUUCUGUAACCCAUUAAAAAGGGCGCUUGGAACCAAAAAUAGAUUUUGUUUUGUAUGAUACCCAUCAAGGACGGGACUGGCGAGGCCACCUCCAAGGUGAUGAUGGACAUCUUCAACACCCACGGUUCUCCUGAGGUCAUCUUGAGUGACCGAGGUCAUGAACGCUGGAACAAGGUUUGAUGAAUGGACCAACCAGACCCUCAAGACUGCCAUGGGCAAGUCCCUUGAUUGGUACCAGAAAGGGUGGGA